This 713-nucleotide long non-coding RNA is filed under the name Mytilus galloprovincialis (Mediterranean mussel). Lineage: Eukaryota; Metazoa; Mollusca; Bivalvia; Mytilida; Mytilidae. The record is from RNAcentral.
AGCAUGAUGUCUUAUCCAUACUAAAAUAUUAUAAUAGAAGAAUAAUAAUAAAAAGUGUCAAAUUUGUCCUCUUUUGACAAUAUAUGGAAAUUUAACAUAAAUAUUCAAAAUAAAACUUUUAAAUUUGUUAAAUUUUUUGAAAAACUAAAGGGUAUUAAAAUAUCAUGAUUUUAUAACUGCUGUGAUUCUAUCUACUUGAAAUUCUGUACUCUCCAUAAUUUACCUCGAUCUUUUGCUAAAUGCAAAUAAAUAAGUAAGCAAAUCUGUUCUUAACUACACAAGGUUGGUGGUGUGUACAUAAGUCCAUGUUAUUGUCAUGAGUAUGAUUCUUUUUUACCAUAUCAUAUCUAAGCUACCAUAAUUUUUUAGGUGAUACUCUUUAAACCUUAUCUAAGUACAUGUAAUUGGGAUCUUCAACUGAAAGGGAAACUGAAUGAAAAUUUAAAAAAAAUAUUAUUCAAUUCAAUUCAACAACAUGUUUCCCUUUCACAUUGUUUCAGGUGUGAUAAACAUGAGAAAUUAGUUUUUUGAACUCAUGAAUUUUUUUUAAGACAAAAUUAAAUAUACACAUGUACAUGUAUAUUACAUAUUCAAAAUUCAACAAAGCUAAUUCAAAUAUAACAGACAUUGUUCAUUUUCUUAAUAAUCCCAUAAGUACUUCAUGCUCAUGACAAUUAACAAACAAUUCACUGUUAGAAUCUAAUGCAUUCUGG